CCAUGACCGAGAGGGCUUAGGCGGUGAUGGAGGAAGGGCCCAGCCUGGGCUGGUGGCGAGUGGGGUUGCUGGGGAGCAAGCUAGGUGGGGGGAGGGAGGUAGCCUUUGCCCCACGGGCUUUGCGAGAGAACAGAAACCGUGAGAGAGAGGAGAUGGCGGGGUGCGUCCAGAGGGAGAGUCAAUGCUCGAGUGUGAGCCCAGCUCAUCGGGUAGCACAGGGCUGUGCAGGGGACACAGCUCAGCGCCACAGAAUGUUCUCACAUGUUGUGAACAUGUUAUGCCCCCACCCCCGUUUUUUACCUCUUUGUCGUUUUAUAUGCUCUGAUACAUCGUUUGCUUAUUGCUCGGGGUGCCCGCCACGCCGUCUUGUUGAACGUUGUAGUCGAGGGUUUAGCGGAGAAGGAGGCCCAUGCUUGGAGUUCAGUAAGAAUGUGCUGAGAGCACUGUGGCAUUGCCACCUGUGGGGAACGGGAACCCUGGAACAGAGAAAACAAAGGAGAACCGGCCCCAGAGGGGUGAUUGCUGAUGGCCGGGAAGAGCCUGCCCUGCUUCUCCACACCUGGCCGGUGGGACCCCCUGGCAGGGGCACUUGGUCCUUACGCCUCCCACCAGCUCUUACUGACCAUCUAACAAGCACCAAGCCUGGUAUCGAGCUUGGGGACGCUAUGACAAGGCAGGACAAGGUUCCUGACCAGGGUGGAGAGAGCCUUGAAGAACAUGCAGGGACUUCCAGCCUUGGUGCAGGGAGCGUCUGCUACGCUGCCCCCGUGGUAGGAUGUCGCCUCAGCACCGGGGAGAGAAGAGCGUUGACAGCCAUUAUCUUGCCAUCAGUGAUGGACGCGAUGCCCGUGUCCAGGAUGGACUCGGAUGUCAGCCCAGUAAUGACUGGUCCACAGGCUCGAGGUGUUGCCCUGGGUUCCUGAGCACCUGUGCCUCCGUGUGCGAGAUGUGAGCAAGGUCCUGAACUGCCAGCAGACUUGCUUCAACCACAGAUAAUUCUCCUUCUUGCGGCUCCCACAUCUCAGAUCACUGGUUCAUGUGGAAGUGAGGACACACAUCUUAUGUGACCGAGGGACCGAGGCAGUGGCAGAGAGCAUGGGGCUGAUACCCAUGGGGCUGAUACCCAUUCCUCUGGCCCACCCAGGAGAGCUGUGACCGGCAGGCCUCCCUAAACCAGCCAGACUGUGGUUCGGGGGAAUUCGCUCACCUCGAAAACAUAAGCCCUUUUCUGCUGAAAAGCAAUACAAGCUCAUUAUAGAAAGUUGGAAAAUAUGGAAAAGCACAAGGGGAAAAAAUUGUCCGGAAUUCAACCAUUCAAAGCCCUUGCUACUGUGAUAAUAUUGUAUCUUAUUCAUAGUUUAACCCAUGGGUAUGCUUGUUUUAUAAAGUUUUAAUCAUAUAGUAAAUGUAAUUUUAUCCUGAUUUUUAAAGGUUCCUGUUACUGGGUAAGCAUUUUAAGAGGUACUACAAACUUUAUAAACUUUAUUAUUGCCCUUUUAAAAAUUUCCUUAUAAACAUAAAUGCUUUGUUUUUAUUCUUUGCAGUUUACCAAUUGUAAGUGUUUUAAGCAAUGACUUUGCCUCUGGGGAAACUCUGGGCAGUGGUGUAUUUUUAUUAAUAGUACUUUCUGAAUUUUCUCUGUUCUCAAUCUAGAUCUCAAACUUGAUUCAAGAGUUGCUUAUUAGUAAUUUUAAAAUUCCAAAUGUGGGUGCCUGGGUGGCUCAGUCAGUUAAGCAUCUGCCUUUGGCUCAGGUCAUGAUCCCAGGGUCCUGGGAUCAAGGCCCACAUCGGGUUCCCUGCUCAGCAGGGAGUCUGCUUCUCCCUCUGCCCCUGCCCCUGACUUGUGCUCUCUCUCUUGCAAAUAAAUUAAUAAAAUCUUAAAAAAU
Ursus maritimus (polar bear) is the source of this 1886-nucleotide long non-coding RNA. The record is from Ensembl. Lineage: Eukaryota; Metazoa; Chordata; Mammalia; Carnivora; Ursidae.